UACGUAGGGGGCAAGCGUUGUCCGGAAUCAUUGGGCGUAAAGCGCGUGUAGGCGGCUCGGUAAGUCUGCUGUGAAAGUCCAGGGCUCAACCCUGGGAUGCCGGUGGAUACUGUCGAGCUCGAGUCCGGAAGAGGCGAGUGGAAUUCCUGGUGUAGCGGUGAAAUGCGCAGAUAUCAGGAGGAACACCAAUGGCGAAGGCAGCUCGCUGGGACGUGACUGACGCUGAGACGCGAAAGCUAGGGGAGCAAACAGG
This 253-nucleotide ribosomal RNA is filed under the name uncultured bacterium. RNAcentral's name for it is "partial 16S ribosomal RNA". It matches the Rfam family "Bacterial small subunit ribosomal RNA", at positions 524 to 776 of the family's 1533-position model. The record is from RNAcentral.